RNAcentral lists this transfer RNA (94 nucleotides) under Desulfonauticus sp. Its description in RNAcentral is "tRNA-Ser". It matches the Rfam family "tRNA". Rfam says of the family: Transfer RNA (tRNA) molecules are approximately 80 nucleotides in length. Lineage: Bacteria; Pseudomonadati; Thermodesulfobacteriota; Desulfovibrionia; Desulfovibrionales; Desulfonauticaceae. The record is from RNAcentral.
GGAGAGGUGUCCGAGCUGGCCGAAGGAGCACGAUUGGAAAUCGUGUGUACCGGCAAAACCGGUACCGAGGGUUCGAAUCCCUCCCUCUCCGCCA